RNAcentral lists this ribosomal RNA (351 nucleotides) under uncultured bacterium. RNAcentral describes it as "partial 16S ribosomal RNA". It matches the Rfam family "Bacterial small subunit ribosomal RNA", at positions 338 to 705 of the family's 1533-position model. The record is from RNAcentral.
CCUACGGGGGGCAGCAGUGGGGGAUAUUGCACAAUGGGGGGAACCCUGAUGCAGCGACGCCGCGUGGGUGAAGGAGUGCUUCGGCAUGUAAAGCCCUAUCGGCAGGGAAGAAGCAAGACGGUACCUGACUAAGAAGCCCCGGCUAACUACGUGCCAGCAGCCGCGGUAAUACGUAGGGGGCGCGCGUUAUCCGGAGUCACUGGGUGUAAAGGGAGCGUAGACGGCCAUGCAGGCAAGGGGUGAAAGGCCGGGGCGCAACCCCGGAACUGCUCUUGGGACUGCAUGGCUGGAGUGCGGGAGGGGCAAGCGGAAGUCGUGGUGUAGCGGUGAAAUGCGUAGAUAGCAGGAGGA